This is a long non-coding RNA of Poecilia latipinna (sailfin molly), 833 nucleotides long. RefSeq lists it as uncharacterized. NCBI's taxonomy places the organism in Eukaryota, Metazoa, Chordata, Actinopteri, Cyprinodontiformes, Poeciliidae. The record is from RefSeq and is a predicted model, not a curated record. The transcript has 3 exons.
CAGACUCUAACAGAACUUUGUUCACAGUCUUUGAUAUUAAUCUGAUAAUCAGUUUUAAUGUUUCUGUCUCUCUUCUGUCAGACGGGACGGAAACCUUGGCUCAGUUCCUGAGGUCAGAGGUCAGAGAGGAAACCGUCCGGUUCUGGUCGGCCUGUGAGGAGAACAGAACCUCUGGUCCAGAAGCCCGGCUGCUGUCCAGAACCUCGUAUGUUUCUAGAGUCGUCGUGGAUCCAGAAAGCAUCAGACAGAGGUUCAGGACAUCAUCUGACCUCUGACCUCCAGCUGCUGCUUCACCUUCAGUUUUUUAUUGCUUCAGACCAUCAUCAGCUUCAUCAUCGUUUCCCUCCAGAUGUUUAAUAAAAUGUUUCCAUCACAGUUUGGUCUCCAGUGAAUUAUUGAAGUUUUUCAUUAUUUUUAAUCGUUGAUCUUUCUGGUCUCUGCGGCUUCAGACAGAAACGAUCUGAUGGUUUCCUGUUUCUCAUCAAUGAUCUGCAGAUCAUCAAACAAAAAGCAACAAACCGCAGCUUGAAACAGGCUUCAGUGGAAACUUCCAGCUGCAGGUCAGAGCCAAUCAGAUUCAUCCAACCUUCACUGACGUCUGAUUUGAUGCUUUACAACAACAAAAGGCCUUAAACUCUCAUCAACUUAAACUGCCAGAAAUAAAAUCUUAACUUUAUUUUUUAGUCUUUAAAUAAAGUCUUAUACAUUUUAGGGAAUGGAAAGAAGAUCCACAUGUUUUCAUCCAACACUGAAGAACCUGAACUAAUGGAAUCGGCGCCUCCUAGUGAAGCGUAAAAGUACGGUGGAGCAUUAGGGUCAAAAUGAAAGACAAA